UAUCCAGCUCCAAUAGCGUAUAUUAAAGUUGUUGCAGUUAAAAAGCUCGUAGUUGAAUUUCGGGAUCAAUAUGUCGGUCGUGCCUCGGUACGUACUGGNUUAUUGGUUUCUCCUUUCUGAAGAACCAUGAUGUCAUUUAUUUGGUGUCCUGGGGAAUCAGGACUGUUACUUUGAAAAAAUUAGAGUGUUUAAAGCAGGCUCACGCUUGAAUACAUUAGCAUGGAAUAAUGAAAUAGGACGUUUGAUUCUAUUUUGUUGGUUUCUAGGAUCGACGUAAUGAUUAAUAGGGAUAGUUGGGGGCAUUAGUAUUCAAUUGUCAGAGGUGAAAUUCUUGGAUUUAUUGAAGACUAACUACUGCGAAAGCAUUUGCCAAGGAUGUUUUCAUUAAUCAAGAACGAAAGUUAGGGGAUCGAAGACGAUCAGAUACCGUCGUAGUCUUAACCAUAAACUAUGCCGAGUAGGGAUCGGAUGAUG
RNAcentral lists this ribosomal RNA (474 nucleotides) under Glomus sp. MS Appelhans 236. Its description in RNAcentral is "SSU rRNA". It matches the Rfam family "Eukaryotic small subunit ribosomal RNA", at positions 582 to 1062 of the family's 1831-position model. Lineage: Eukaryota; Fungi; Glomeromycota; Glomeromycetes; Glomerales; Glomeraceae. The record is from RNAcentral.